UACGUAGGGGGCAAGCGUUGUCCGGAAUUAUUGGGCGUAAAGAGCGCGUAGGCGGUCCGGUAAGUCCGCUGUGAAAGUCGGGGGCUCAACCCUCGGAUGCCGGUGGAUACUGUCGGGCUUGAGUACGGAAGAGGCGAGUGGAAUUCCUGGUGUAGCGGUGAAAUGCGCAGAUAUCAGGAGGAACACCAAUUGCGAAGGCAGCUCGCUGGGACGUUACUGACGCUGAGACGCGAAAGCGUGGGGAGCAAACAGG
RNAcentral lists this ribosomal RNA (253 nucleotides) under uncultured bacterium. RNAcentral's name for it is "partial 16S ribosomal RNA". It matches the Rfam family "Bacterial small subunit ribosomal RNA", at positions 524 to 776 of the family's 1533-position model. The record is from RNAcentral.